CCUACGGGAGGCAGCAGUGGGGAAUUUUGCGCAAUGGGGGAAACCCUGACGCAGCGACGCCGCGUGGAGGAUGACGGCCUUCGGGUUAUAAACUCCUGUCAGAGGGGACGAAAUCCCGCAAGGGACUGACGGUACCCUCAGAGGAAGCCCCGGCUAACUACGUGCCAGCAGCCGCGGUAAUACGUAGGGGGCAAGCGUUACUCGGAAUUACUGGGCGUAAAGGGUGAGUAGGCGGCUGGGCAAGUCAAGGAUGAAAUCCCGAGGCUCAACUUCGGAACUGUCCUUGAAACUGCUCAGCUUGAGGGUAGUUGAGGAGAGCGGAAUUCCCGGUGGAGCGGUGAAAUGCGUAGAUAUCGGGAGGAACACCUGAGGCGAAGGCGGCUCUCUAAGCUACUCCUGACGCUGAAUCACGAAAGCUAGGGGAGCAAACG
Molecule: ribosomal RNA, 431 nt
Filed under: uncultured Aminicenantes bacterium
Lineage: Bacteria; Candidatus Aminicenantota
Description: bacterial SSU rRNA
Rfam family: Bacterial small subunit ribosomal RNA
Source: RNAcentral